CAAUAGCGUAUAUUAAAGUUGUUGCGGUUAAAAAGCUCGUAGUUGGAGUUCUGCCAGGUGCCGCCUGUCGCCCCAGUGGUGAGUACGUGGCGCGCAUUUGGCCCUUUCAAGGGGAGCGUAUCUGCACUUUAUUGUGUGGUGCGGGAUCCUUGACUUUUACUUUGAGGAAAUAGGAGUGUUCCAAGCAGGCUCUCGUCGUGCACAGCUCAGCAUGGAAUAAUAGCAUUGGACCUCGAUUCUAAGCUGUUGGUUGCCAGAAGCGAGGUAAUGAUGAAGAGGGAUAGUUGGGGGCAUUCGUAUUUAACUGUCAUAGGUGAAAUUCUUGGAUUUGUUAAAGGCGGACUACUGCGAAAGCAUCUGCCAGGGAUGUUUUCAUUGA
This 379-nucleotide ribosomal RNA is filed under the name uncultured eukaryote. RNAcentral describes it as "partial 18S ribosomal RNA". It matches the Rfam family "Eukaryotic small subunit ribosomal RNA", at positions 592 to 976 of the family's 1831-position model. The record is from RNAcentral.